GAGUCAUUGGGACUCUGUUAAACCUAAAGGCGCAAUGAAAGUAAAGGUCAGCCUCGCGCGGACCGAGGGAGGAUGGGCCCGUCCGCGGGCGGGCCCCGCACUCCCGGGGCGUCUCGUUCUCAUCGCGAGAAGAGGCGCACCCAGAGCGUACACGCUGGGACCCGAAAGAUGGUGAACUAUGCCUGGUCAGGACGAAGUCAGGGGAAACCCUGAUGGAGGUCCGUAGCGAUUCUGACGUGCAAAUCGAUCGUCGGAACUGGGUAUAGG
RNAcentral lists this ribosomal RNA (267 nucleotides) under Arachnodes sp. 1 HKW-2010. RNAcentral's name for it is "partial 28S ribosomal RNA". It matches the Rfam family "Eukaryotic large subunit ribosomal RNA", at positions 688 to 921 of the family's 3401-position model. The record is from RNAcentral. Lineage: Eukaryota; Metazoa; Arthropoda; Insecta; Coleoptera; Scarabaeidae.